Long non-coding RNA from Schistocerca gregaria, 505 nucleotides. RefSeq lists it as uncharacterized. The transcript has 2 exons. NCBI's taxonomy places the organism in Eukaryota, Metazoa, Arthropoda, Insecta, Orthoptera, Acrididae. The record is from RefSeq and is a predicted model, not a curated record.
CGCCUGGCUACAAAAGUGCGGUGCAGCGCGUACGCUCACAUUCGUUCUCCGCCACUGCAGCUACGCACAACUCCCACCUCACACCAUGGUACGCGCGACGACGUUGCUUAUUUUGGCGGUGGUGGCUGCCGUGCUGUCUGUCUCGUGGGCUGCUGUGGUGGGCCCGUCCAUCGACAUUGGACCUAAACCCAGUCGACCACCUUACCAGCCAGGACCGUGGGUCUACCCCAAGCCCACGACGGCCAGAACUGGACGAUGAUGACUUGGACUUCCGCCAAGCCACUCGCCCUUCCAACUUACUCCACUUCCCUACACUCAAUAACUGCAAUCGCAUCACACUGUGAUUGCUUUCACGUCAACUCACUGUUUCAGACGAUAGUCCUGUAUAGUGGAUGAAUGCCAACAGAAACAUUUCCAUUUCACUUGCACCAUCACUUCUCAUACGAAUAUUAAAGACUUUUAUUUGUUAGCUUAUGUAAAUAAAAAUAUUGUUUAAUGCUCUUCA